Oncorhynchus tshawytscha (Chinook salmon) is the source of this 1328-nucleotide long non-coding RNA. RefSeq lists it as uncharacterized. The record is from RefSeq and is a predicted model, not a curated record. The transcript has 3 exons. NCBI's taxonomy places the organism in Eukaryota, Metazoa, Chordata, Actinopteri, Salmoniformes, Salmonidae.
CAGGCAGACACAGAAGACACUCAGUAUUAGGAGCACAGCUAACACUCAGCAACAGGAAUGCAUAUUUCAUUAUACUCAACUGGUUAGCGACCAUUACUAAUGAGCUGCAUGUCUACCAGCUGCAGAUGUAGAAACAUUUACACUGUGUGUGUCUGUGAAUUGUUGGUUCAGACUUCACACUGCCAGAGGCAAUAAACAAAUCAUUCUGCUUUGCUUCCUCCCCCACAUCCCUUCUCCUCCUCCCUGCUCUGCCUCUCUCUAUCCCUCUGGGCACCCAAGCAGAGAGAGAGGAAGAAAAAUAGAGAGAGAGUGAGAGGGAAAGUGGGAGUAAGAAGGUGGAAUGUUGAAUGCAGCAGAACAGUGGACCUGAUGGGUAAUUCUGUGACUGAGCCUGAAGUUUUGGUUUGGCUUGUGGCUCACACAAAGCAGGACUACAUUGCCGCGCAGGACUACAUUACCGCGCAUGUCUACCUUACAGCGCGGGACUACAUUACCGUGCGGGACUACAUUACCGCGAAUGUCUACAUUACCGUGCAGGCGCAGGACUACCUUACCGCGCAAGACUACAUUACCGCGAAUGUCUACAUUACCGCGCAGCGCAGGACUACCUUACCGCGCAGGUCUACCUUAACGCGCAGGACUACAUUACCGCGCAGGACUACAUUACCGCGCAGGACUACAUUACCGUGCAGGACUACAUUACCGCGCAUGUCUACCUUACCGCGCAUGUCUACCUUACCGCGCAUGUCUACCUUACCGCGCAGGUCUACGUUACCACACAGGACUACAUUACCACGCCAGUAGAUAAAAGGAUUAAAGCAAACAAAGGGACAGAGGGAGCAUGUGGAAGCAUGCAAGUCGGCUUUUGAACUAGGAGUGUGUGAAAGUGUGUGUAACAGAGAGACAGUGUGUGUGGCAUGUCUGAGUAGUGCGCACCAUUCCUACUUGUGGGUCAAGCUUGGACUUGAGGCUAGUGGGGCUCUUAUCGGAACUAGCUGUAAUGCAUUCCCAGAGAUUAAUCUUCUCCUGGUAUCAGCAAGGCUAUCACACUGCUGCAGAUAGGAGGUGAAGUGGGACGGUGAUGCACCAUAGGAGCUGAUAACUCCAGCAGGAAGUGGAGCAGGGCCAGGUGAAGCAGCCGAGGUCACAGACCUACCUCCAGGGGACUACUGGGUCUUUCUAGAGAUCAGACAGUGUACCUGUGCCCGCGGAUGUCAGACUGGUCACACACCCCUCCCAGGGCAAUGCGGUGGAACUCCCUGCCCAGGGUACGGGCGAUGGAGCGCCCCACACUGGUCUUUCCCACCCCAGGCGGCCCCACGAAGCAC